This 467-nucleotide ribosomal RNA is filed under the name uncultured bacterium. Its description in RNAcentral is "bacterial SSU rRNA". It matches the Rfam family "Bacterial small subunit ribosomal RNA", at positions 50 to 507 of the family's 1533-position model. The record is from RNAcentral.
AACACAUGCAAGUCGAACGGCAGCAUGUUUAUCUUCGGAAUAAAUGAUGGCGAGUGGCGGACGGGUGAGUAACACGUAGGAAUCUGCCUUAAAGUGGGGGAUAGCCUGGGGAAACCUAGGGUAAUACCGCAUAAUGCUAAGGAGAAAGCUGGGGACCUUCGGGCCUGGUGCUUUAAGAUGAGCCUGCGUCAGAUUAGCUAGUUGGCGGGGUAAAGGCCUACCAAGGCGAUGAUCUGUAGCUGAUUUGAGAGGAUGAUCAGCCACACUGGGACUGAGACGCGGCCCAGACUCCUACGGGAGGCAGCAGUGGGGAAUUUUGGACAAUGGGCGAAAGCCUGAUCCAGCAAUACCGCGUGUGUGAUGAAGGCCUUCGGGUUGUAAAGCACUUUCAGUUGUGAAGAAAUGUACAUGGUUAAUACCCAUGUAAGCUGACGUUAACAACAGAAGAAGCACCGGCUAACUCUGUG